This 99-nucleotide non-coding RNA is filed under the name Candidatus Amoebophilus. RNAcentral describes it as "TPP sequence". It matches the Rfam family "TPP riboswitch aptamer (THI element)". Rfam says of the family: Vitamin B(1) in its active form thiamin pyrophosphate (TPP) is an essential coenzyme that is synthesised by coupling of pyrimidine and thiazole moieties in bacteria. The previously detected thiamin-regulatory element, thi box was extended, resulting in a new, highly conserved RNA secondary structure, the THI element, which is widely distributed in eubacteria and also occurs in some archaea. Analysis of operon structures identified a large number of new candidate thiamin-regulated genes, mostly transporters, in various prokaryotic organisms. The record is from RNAcentral. Lineage: Bacteria; Pseudomonadati; Bacteroidota; Cytophagia; Cytophagales; Amoebophilaceae.
AGUUUACUCACGGGGUGCCUAUACAGGCUGAGAAGUGCGAGCUAACCCGUGUACCUGAUCCAGAUAAUGCUGGCGGAGGAAUUGGGUAAAAGAAAAAGC